UGAGGAAUAUUGGUCAAUGGGCGAGAGCCUGAACCAGCCAAGUCGCGUGAAGGAUGAAGGUCUUAUGGAUUGUAAACUUCUUUUAUAAGGGAAUAAAAAGAGAUACGAGUAUCUUAUUGCAUGUACCAUAUGAAUAAGGAUCGGCUAACUCCGUG
This 155-nucleotide ribosomal RNA is filed under the name uncultured Porphyromonas sp. Its description in RNAcentral is "partial 16S ribosomal RNA". It matches the Rfam family "Bacterial small subunit ribosomal RNA", at positions 355 to 507 of the family's 1533-position model. Lineage: Bacteria; Pseudomonadati; Bacteroidota; Bacteroidia; Bacteroidales; Porphyromonadaceae. The record is from RNAcentral.